This 22-nucleotide small RNA is filed under the name Arabidopsis thaliana (thale cress). Its description in RNAcentral is "ATSL303170". The record is from RNAcentral. Lineage: Eukaryota; Viridiplantae; Streptophyta; Magnoliopsida; Brassicales; Brassicaceae.
AGUUUGCGUUGGUCGUUCUCUU